Molecule: ribosomal RNA, 467 nt
Filed under: uncultured bacterium
Lineage: Bacteria
Description: partial 16S ribosomal RNA
Rfam family: Bacterial small subunit ribosomal RNA
Source: RNAcentral
ACGCACGCUGGCGGCGUGCUUCACCCAUGCAAGUCGCACGGAAAGGCCCUGCUUUUGUGGGGUGCUCGAGUGGCGAACGGGGGAGUAACACGUGAGUAACCUGCCCUUGACUUUGGGAUAACUUCAGGAAACUGGGGCUAAUACCGGAUAGGAGCUCCUGCUGCAUGGUGGGGGUUGGAAAGUUUCGGCGGUUGGGGAUGGACUCGCGGCUUAUCAGCUUGUUGGUGGGGUAGUGGCUUACCAAGGCUUUGACGGGUAGCCGGCCUGAGAGGGUGACCGGCCACAUUGGGACUGAGAUACGGCCCAGACUCCUACGGGAGGCAGCAGUGGGGAAUAUUGCACAAUGGGCGGAAGCCUGAUGCAGCAACGCCGCGUGCGGGAUGACGGCCUUCGGGUUGUAAACCGCUUUCGCCUGUGACGAAGCGUGAGUGACGGUAAUGGGUAAAGAAGCACCGGCUAACUACGUG